RNAcentral lists this ribosomal RNA (253 nucleotides) under uncultured bacterium. RNAcentral's name for it is "partial 16S ribosomal RNA". It matches the Rfam family "Bacterial small subunit ribosomal RNA", at positions 524 to 776 of the family's 1533-position model. The record is from RNAcentral.
UACGAAGGGGGCUAGCGUUGUUCGGAAUUACUGGGCGUAAAGCGCACGUAGGCGGAUUGUUAAGUCAGAGGUGAAAUCCCGGAGCUCAACUCCAGAACUGCCUUUGAUACUGGCGAUCUCGAGUCCGGGAGAGGUGAGUGGAACUGCGAGUGUAGAGGUGAAAUUCGUAGAUAUUCGCAAGAACACCAGUGGCGAAGGCGGCUCACUGGCCCGGUACUGACGCUGAGGUGCGAAAGCGUGGGGAGCAAACAGG